CCCUCUCAGAGGAGGGCAGAGAGCUGCGUUUUUAGGGCUAAAGCUUUGUGAUUUUAGCCCUGGACCCUGGGACUGGAUGCCUUACCUGCCUUUAGAAAGAAGGCAGCUGUGUUCCUGCUCUCGGGGUUUUUUAUUAAAAGGAAGAAGCCUGGAAACGUGCCCUAAGCUGAAAGUUUGAAGAGGAGCACAGAGUGUCCCCGAAUCAGAGACCUUCCCCGGGGAGCGAGGGACAGCCCAUGGCACCGCGUCCGAGGGCAGCACGUUUGUGUGAGCAGGAGCUGCGGCAGUGGACCCCAGCGAACCCUUUGGAUGGGGGCAGGAUGCCACAAGCUCAGCUCCCACGUGCAGGGAGGUGACGUCUGGGCUGGUGAUGGGGCCAUCCCCCUCUGGGCUCCGUGGCUCUUGCUAGUACCAAACACGUGGGGCCUUGGCUGCAAGGGGGUCCUUUUGUGACAACUCGGGUCUCCUGGGUCAGCAAUCACAUCAACGGCUGCGGGGAGGGACUGGCAGCCUCUGGCCAUGGGCAGACCUGGGCCAGAGGACGUGGGUCUCCCCAAAACCCCAUCCAUCCCUGUCCUCGGGCACCAGCCCCAGUGUCCAACUGUGAAGGGACAUAAGCCAAUGAACCUGCUCAGCCCAGCAGGCUCGUUAUCACCCCGGCUUUAUUGCACCUCCAGGCCCGGUCACCCUCUCCCCUCAGUCACGUCUCGCUCUCCGCAGCAUAUUAAAUCCCCGAGGGCUGCCUGGGCAAAAUUGCCGCUGCUCCAUUACUCUGCUGUCAGCAUCCGCCACCCUCGUGAGAAUCAGGCUCCACAUCAGAAAAUAAUAAAGGCGAUGUUAUGAGCAGAGGGGAGAGGAGAUUAAAAACCUGUUUAAAGAGCCUGCCAGUCCCUGGGCUGUUUAUUGCACGUUGUGGCUUUGCGUUAUUUUUGUUGUCACCGAAGUUGGACUUUUAAUUUUCCCCUGAUCGUGAAGUGACUACCUUGUAAUUUCCCUAUGGCUCUGGGGAUUAAAAAAUGUUGUUUAAAGUACCUGUUGCCCCCCAGGUUCAGCUGGGGAUGCUUUCACUGCAUGUUGAGGGCUAAUUAAAUCCUUUAUUCCCCCAGAGAUGACAAGCACUGGGCCCGACCCUGGGGCUGAGCAGCUCGGGGGGCGCUUUGUGCACCAGCACCGGGCCGGCUCUGCGCUCCCUGGGACCUGGCCAUGAUACAUGUGUUUAUCCAAGACCUUUUUUUCUUACAUGUGAUUUACUUUCCAGGGCGUUUUGGUCAAUUUUCACCCUU
Molecule: long non-coding RNA, 1283 nt
Organism: Cygnus olor (mute swan)
Lineage: Eukaryota; Metazoa; Chordata; Aves; Anseriformes; Anatidae
Exons: 3
Source: RefSeq, a predicted model, not a curated record